Molecule: ribosomal RNA, 253 nt
Filed under: uncultured bacterium
Lineage: Bacteria
Description: partial 16S ribosomal RNA
Rfam family: Bacterial small subunit ribosomal RNA
Source: RNAcentral
UACGUAGGGUCCAAGCGUUGUCCGGAUUUAUUGGGCGUAAAGCGCACGUAGGCGGCUAUCUAAGUCGGAUGUGAAAUCCCUCGGCUUAACCAAGGAAGUGCACCCGAAACUGGAUAGCUUGAGUACAGAAGAGGAUCGCGGAAUUCCCGGUGUAGAGGUGAAAUUCGUAGAUAUCGGGAGGAACACCAGUGGCGAAGGCGGCGAUCUGGGCUGAUACUGACGCUGAGGUGCGAAAGCGUGGGGAGCAAACAGG